Molecule: ribosomal RNA, 269 nt
Filed under: uncultured Pseudomonas sp.
Lineage: Bacteria; Pseudomonadati; Pseudomonadota; Gammaproteobacteria; Pseudomonadales; Pseudomonadaceae
Description: partial 16S ribosomal RNA
Rfam family: Bacterial small subunit ribosomal RNA
Source: RNAcentral
ACCAGCACGUUAUGGUGGGCGACUCUAAAGGAGACUGCCGGUGGACAAACCGGAGGAAGGUGGGGAUGACGUCAAGUCAUCAUGGCCCUUACGGCCUGGGCUACACACGUGCUACAAUGGUCGGUACAAAGGGUUGCCAAGCCGCGAGGUGGAGCUAAUCCCAUAAAACCGAUCGUAGUCCGGAUCGCAGUCUGCAACUCGACUGCGUGAAGUCGGAAUCGCUAGUAAUCGUGAAUCAGAAUGUCACGGUGAAUACGUUCCCGGGCCUU